AACAGGAAGAUGAACAGAACUGAAUUUUAGGACCUAACUCCUGAUGAGCUGGACUUUAUCUUGGCAGGAGUUUUUGGAGACUGAUGCAGUGACAGCCAAUGGCUUCAGAAUCCAUGGUCCCUGAGCAGUCAAAACAACAGCUGAUAAAGGGAAAAAGGUGGCAGCAGCAGCAGCAAACUCAGCCUUCCAUCAGUGAUGAGGAUGUCUUCGUGUUUGAGGCCAACGAGGCUUGGAAGGAUUUUCACAGCUCUCUUCUUCACUUCUUUGAAGCUGGAGAGCUCUGUGAUGUUACACUGAAGGUUGGUUCAAAGCUAAUCUCCUGCCACAAACUGGUGCUGGCUUGCGUUAUCCCGUACUUCCGAGCCAUGUUUCUUUCGGAAAUGGCUGAAGCCAAGCAGAAGCUGAUUGAGAUCAGGGACUUUGACGGCGAUGCCAUCGAGGACCUGGUGAAGUUCGCGUACUCCUCGCGGCUCACGCUGACGGUGGACAACGUGCAGCCCCUGCUGUACGCCGCCUGCAUCCUGCAGGUAGAGCUGGUGGCCAAGGCCUGCUGUGAGUACAUGAAGCUGCACUUCCACCCCUCCAACUGCCUGGCAGUCAGGGUGUUUGCCGAGAGCCACAACCGUGUCGACCUGAUGAACAUGGCCGAUCAGUUUGCUUGUGAGCAUUUCACAGAAGUGGUGGAGUGCGAGGACUUUGUGAGUGUGUCACCACAGCACCUCCAUAAACUCCUGUCCUCCAGUGACCUGAAUAUUGAAAAUGAAAAGCAAGUUUACAAUGCUGCUAUCAAGUGGCUGCUGGCCAAUCCACAACAUCAUGCUACGUGGCUGGAUGAGAUCCUUGCACAGGUACGGCUGCCUCUCUUGCCCAUUUCUUUCCUUAUGGGUGUUGUGGCAAAGGAAGAGAUUGUCAAGCAGAAUCUAAAAUGUAGGGAUUUGCUGGAUGAAGCAAGGAACUACCACCUUCACCUGAGCAGCAGGGCAGUGCCUGACUUUGAGUACUCCAUUCGCACAACACCAAGGAAGCAGACUGCUGGUGUGCUGUUCUGUGUGGGAGGCAGAGGUGGAUCAGGUGACCCCUUCCGCAGCAUUGAGUGUUACUCCAUCAGUAAGAACAGCUGGUUCUUCGGCCCAGAAAUGAACAGCAGGAGGAGGCAUGUGGGUGUGAUCUCUGUGGGAGGUAAAGUCUACGCAGUAGGUGGACAUGAUGGAAAUGAGCACUUAGGAAGCAUGGAAGUAUUUGAUCCUCUCACAAACAAGUGGAUGAUGAAGGCAUCAAUGAACACAAAGAGGAGAGGCAUCGCCCUGGCAUCCCUGGGCGGCCCCAUUUAUGCCAUUGGGGGCCUGGAUGACAACACGUGCUUCGGCGACGUGGAGCGCUACGACAUCGACUCGGACUGCUGGAGCACCGUGGCCUCCAUGAACACUCCCCGCGGGGGCGUCGGCUCCGUGGCGCUGGUGAACCAUGUUUACGCCGUGGGUGGCAAUGAUGGUGUAGCAUCUCUUUCCAGUGUGGAGAAAUAUGAUCCCCACUUGGAUAAGUGGAUAGAAGUGAAAGAGAUGGGUCAGCGAAGGGCUGGGAACGGUGUUAGUGAGCUCCACGGCUGCUUGUAUGUUGUUGGUGGGUUUGAUGACAACUCGCCCCUGAGCUCGGUGGAGCGGUUUGACCCACGCUGUAACAAAUGGGAAUACGUGGCAGAGCUCACGACUCCAAGGGGUGGUGUUGGCAUAGCAACACUGAUGGGAAAAAUUUUUGCAGUUGGAGGUCAUAAUGGCAACGUGUACCUGAAUACAGUGGAAGCAUUUGAUCCCAUAGUGAACAGGUGGGAGCUCGUGGGCUCGGUGUCGCACUGCAGGGCAGGGGCAGGCGUGGCCGUGUGCUCCUGUCUCAGCAGCCAGAUCCGGGACAUGGGCCAGGGAUCCAGCAACGUUGUGGAUUGCAUGUGAGCUCUGCCACCUCCAAAUUCCAAAGGAAUGCUGCAAGGGAGGCACCACAGAGCUUCUAAACACUGUGUUUUGUAUGUGAUACAGAAAAGCCUGUGAGAACAUGGAAUAAAAGUGUGACCCACAAGAAGAAACCUGCCAAGAACUGCAAUCAUCCCAUUUCUGAGAAGCUACGAUUUCAAAAUCAUUUGAGGCAGCUGUUGCAAGGACUCAAUAUUGAGCUGUAAAUCAGGCAUGUGCUAAGGAGAGCAGCAGCAGCUACUGCUACAUGUUCUCUC
Molecule: RNA transcript, 2221 nt
Organism: Melozone crissalis (California towhee)
Lineage: Eukaryota; Metazoa; Chordata; Aves; Passeriformes; Passerellidae
Gene: KLHL8
Gene name: kelch like family member 8
Exons: 10
Source: RefSeq, a predicted model, not a curated record